AAAAAAAAACUUAGGGCACAUACCCACAUUGGCAACCCACCAUCAUUGCCACAAAAGGUGACUCCCCUCCCAAUGCCUUACUUUCUACACCACUAUCUUCCUCUCUCCCAUCCUCCAUUCAUCAUGUCCUUUCUUCAAUUCCUCUUUCCAAUCCUCCAUUCAUCUCGUCAUCUCUUCGAUUACCAAAGAAAUUGCAAGAUCUUGCUAGAGGGGCUGCUUCCAACAAGCUUGAUCUCACCAAGGCUACACAAUUGUUUUGUGAGAACACCGAAAAUGACUUUAAUUUGGAUGAGCUUUCUUUUUUGCAUUUU
This 311-nucleotide long non-coding RNA is filed under the name Vitis vinifera (wine grape). RNAcentral describes it as "long non-coding RNA (VVIN_LNC005576)". Lineage: Eukaryota; Viridiplantae; Streptophyta; Magnoliopsida; Vitales; Vitaceae. The record is from RNAcentral.